Molecule: long non-coding RNA, 114 nt
Organism: Sapajus apella (tufted capuchin)
Lineage: Eukaryota; Metazoa; Chordata; Mammalia; Primates; Cebidae
Exons: 3
Source: RefSeq, a predicted model, not a curated record
GAGUGGUGGAUGUGGAGGUGAUGGUAGAGGUGGAGGUGAUGAUGGAGGUGGAGGUGAUGGUGGAGGUAAUAGUGGUGGAAGUGGAGGCAAUGGUGCUGGAGGUGAAGGUGAUGG